GGGGGCGACUGGUUUCGACGGGGAUCAGUGACGCACAGGUGGCAUCCCGAGGUGCUCGCGCCUCGUAAAAGACGUCAUAUUCCGGUGACUGGCUCCAAGCUCCGCUCUUGGGCAAGGGGCGAGAUCUUCUAGGAGCUGGCCGCCCUGACAACCAGCCGGUUGGAGGGAGGGGUGGCGAGAGCACAAGAGAACCGGCUAUGGAUGUAGAUGCCUGUUGCUGAGGAUUUCCGGACGUGGGUUCGAUGCCCACCGCCUCCACCA
Molecule: transfer-messenger RNA, 261 nt
Filed under: Candidatus Rokuibacteriota bacterium
Lineage: Bacteria; Candidatus Rokuibacteriota
Description: Candidatus Rokubacteria bacterium transfer-messenger RNA
Rfam family: transfer-messenger RNA
About the family: Bacterial tmRNA, also known as 10Sa RNA or SsrA, is named for its dual tRNA and mRNA-like properties. Its role is to liberate the mRNA from a stalled ribosome. To accomplish this part of the tmRNA is used as a reading frame that ends in a translation stop signal.
Source: RNAcentral